Molecule: small nuclear RNA, 156 nt
Filed under: Microtus ochrogaster (prairie vole)
Lineage: Eukaryota; Metazoa; Chordata; Mammalia; Rodentia; Cricetidae
Description: U1 spliceosomal RNA (ENSMOCG00000005952.1)
Rfam family: U1 spliceosomal RNA
About the family: U1 is a small nuclear RNA (snRNA) component of the spliceosome (involved in pre-mRNA splicing). Its 5' end forms complementary base pairs with the 5' splice junction, thus defining the 5' donor site of an intron. There are significant differences in sequence and secondary structure between metazoan and yeast U1 snRNAs, the latter being much longer (568 nucleotides as compared to 164 nucleotides in human).
Source: RNAcentral
AGGUUUAUAGGGCAGGGACAAUACCAGGAUCACAAAGGUGGUUUUCCCAGGGCAAGACCAUUACACUCUGGAUGUGCCCCUUGAGAUUUCCCUAAACAUGAGAAAUUCCACUGCAUGAUUUGUGGUAGUGGGGGAUGGAAUUCACACUGUUCCCAU